ACGCUCGACACCUACGGGAAGGCAGCAGUGGGGAAUAUUGCACAAUGGGGGAAACCCUGAUGCAGCGACGCCGCGUGAGCGAAGAAGUAUUUCGGUAUGUAAAGCUCUAUCAGCAGGGAAGAUCAUGACGGUACCUGACUAAGAAGCUCCGGCUAAAUACGUGCCAACAGCCGCGGUAAUCUGAGCGGGCUGGCAAGGC
RNAcentral lists this ribosomal RNA (199 nucleotides) under uncultured bacterium. RNAcentral describes it as "partial 16S ribosomal RNA". It matches the Rfam family "Bacterial small subunit ribosomal RNA", at positions 328 to 539 of the family's 1533-position model. The record is from RNAcentral.